CAAAGGUUUGGUCCUGGCCUUAAGAUCACUUGUUACUCAACUCACACAUGCAAGUCUCCGCACCCCCGUGAGAACGCCCUUAAACUCCUACCCAGGAAUAAGGAGCCGGCAUCAGGCACAACAAUUUGCCCAAGACGCCUAGCCAUGCCACCCCCACACGGGACUUCAGCAGUGAUUAAUAUUGAAUAUUAGCGACAGCUUGAUUCAGUUAGAGUAAAAAGAGCCGGCCAAUCUGGUGCCAGCCGCCGCGGUUACACCACGUGGCUCAAAUUGAUCCCCAUCGGCGUAAAGCGUGAUUUAAGUAACUACACCUGUUAGAGUUAAACUUGGGCUAAGCUGUGAUACGCUUGCCACACAAGAAACCCAGAAGCGAAAGCCACUCUAACCCCACCCACUUGAACUCACGACAGCUGGGGCUCAAACUG
Molecule: ribosomal RNA, 425 nt
Filed under: Fritziana fissilis (split-backed frog)
Lineage: Eukaryota; Metazoa; Chordata; Amphibia; Anura; Hemiphractidae
Description: partial 12S ribosomal RNA
Source: RNAcentral